UGCAAGUCGAACGAAGUAGCAAUACUUAGUGGCAGACGGGUGAGUAACAUGUAGGUAUCUACCCUUUGGUGAGGAAUAACACGAGGAAACUUGUGCUAAUACCUCAUAAGUCUUUACGGAGAAAGCUUUAUGCGCCGAAGGAUGAGCCUGCACUUGAUUAGUUUGUUGGUGGGGUAAUGGCCUACCAAGACUUUGAUCUAUAGCUGAUCUGAGAGGAUGAUCAGCCACAUUGGGACUGAGACACGGCCCAAACUCCUACGGGAGGCAGCAGUAGGGAAUAUUGCACAAUGGAGGAAACUCUGAUGCAGCGAUGCCGCGUGAGUGAAGAAGGCCUUUGGGUUGUAAAGCUCUUUCGUCGGGGAAGAAAAUGACUGUACCCGAAUAAGGAUCGG
This 392-nucleotide ribosomal RNA is filed under the name uncultured bacterium. Its description in RNAcentral is "bacterial SSU rRNA". It matches the Rfam family "Bacterial small subunit ribosomal RNA", at positions 56 to 493 of the family's 1533-position model. The record is from RNAcentral.